GAUGAACGCUGGCGGCGUGCCUAAUACAUGCAAGUCGAGCGAACAGAUAAGGAGCUUCCUCCUUUGACGUUAGCGGCGGACGGGUGAGUAACACGUGGAUAACCUACCUAUAAGACUGGGAUAACUUCGGGAAACCGGAGCUAAUACCGGAUAACAUAUUGAACCGCAUGGUUCAAUAGUGAAAGGCGGCUUUGCUGUCACUUAUAGAUGGAUCCGCGCCGUAUUAGCUAGUUGGUAAGGUAACGGCUUACCAAGGCAACGAUACGUAGCCGACCUGAGAGGGUGAUCGGCCACACUGGAACUGAGACACGGUCCAGACUCCUACGGGAGGCAGCAGUAGGGAAUCUUCCGCAAUGGGCGAAAGCCUGACGGAGCAACGCCGCGUGAGUGAUGAAGGUCUUCGGAUCGUAAAACUCUGUUAUCAGGGAAGAACAAAUGUGUAAGUAACUGUGCACAUCUUGACGGUACCUGAUCAGAAAGCCACGGCUAACUACGUG
RNAcentral lists this ribosomal RNA (497 nucleotides) under uncultured bacterium. RNAcentral describes it as "partial 16S ribosomal RNA". It matches the Rfam family "Bacterial small subunit ribosomal RNA", at positions 28 to 507 of the family's 1533-position model. The record is from RNAcentral.